This 429-nucleotide ribosomal RNA is filed under the name Gemmatimonadota bacterium. RNAcentral describes it as "Gemmatimonadetes bacterium partial 16S ribosomal RNA". It matches the Rfam family "Bacterial small subunit ribosomal RNA", at positions 355 to 776 of the family's 1533-position model. Lineage: Bacteria; Pseudomonadati; Gemmatimonadota. The record is from RNAcentral.
UAGGGAAUCUUCGGCAAUGGACGAAAGUCUGACCGAGCAACGCCGCGUGAGUGAAGAAGGUUUUCGGAUCGUAAAACUCUGUUGUUAGAGAAGAACAAGGACGUUAGUAACUGAACGUCCCCUGACGGUAUCUAACCAGAAAGCCACGGCUAACUACGUGCCAGCAGCCGCGGUAAUACGUAGGUGGCAAGCGUUGUCCGGAUUUAUUGGGCGUAAAGCGAGCGCAGGCGGUUUCUUAAGUCUGAUGUGAAAGCCCCCGGCUCAACCGGGGAGGGUCAUUGGAAACUGGGAGACUUGAGUGCAGAAGAGGAGAGUGGCAUUCCAUGUGUAGCGGUGAAAUGCGUAGAUAUAUGGAGGAACACCAGUGGCGAAGGCGGCUCUCUGGUCUGUAACUGACGCUGAGGCUCGAAAGCGUGGGGAGCAAACAGG